Molecule: ribosomal RNA, 598 nt
Filed under: Coxiella burnetii
Lineage: Bacteria; Pseudomonadati; Pseudomonadota; Gammaproteobacteria; Legionellales; Coxiellaceae
Description: bacterial SSU rRNA
Rfam family: Bacterial small subunit ribosomal RNA
Source: RNAcentral
ACUCCUACGGGAGGCAGCAGUGGGGAAUAUUGGACAAUGGGGGAAACCCUGAUCCAGCAAUGCCGCGUGUGUGAAGAAGGCCUUCGGGUUGUAAAGCACUUUCGGUGGGGAAGAAAUUCUCAAGGGUAAUAUCCUUGGGCGUUGACGUUACCCACAGAAGAAGCACUGGCUAACUCUGUGCCAGCAGCCGCGGUAAUACAGAGAGUGCAAGCGUUAAUCGGAAUCACUGGGCGUAAAGCGCGCGUAGGUGGAUAUUUAAGUCGGAUGUGAAAGCCCUGGGCUUAACCUGGGAAUUGCACCCGAUACUGGGUAUCUUGAGUAUGGUAGAGGGAAGUGGAAUUUCCGGUGUAGCGGUGAAAUGCGUAGAUAUCGGAAAGAACACCAGUGGCGAAGGCGACUUCCUGGACCAAUACUGACACUGAGGCGCGAAAGCGUGGGGAGCAAACAGGAUUAGAGACCCUGGUAGUCCACGCCGUCAACGAUGAGAACUAGCUGUUGGGAAGUUCACUUCUUAGUAGCGAAGCUAACGCGUUAAGUUCUCCGCCUGGGGAGUACGGCCGCAAGGUUAAAACUCAAAGAAAUUGACGGGGGCCCGCAC